AUCCUCUAGCGACACCGUCACCGAAGAGCCUUGUACGUCCAUCAGAUCUAUCACGGCUCCGGCUAAUUGCAUUAAAUUUUGCAACUGUUGUAGCCAUUCGGAACUCUCUAUUAACCUAAGGAAAACGGGUUGUAAACAGAUCAGAUAAAUCACAUUGGGCAAGUUAAACCUUGUGAAACACUUCCUACGAUAAAGUUGUAGUCGUGUACUUGAUUUAAGAUGAGGAACAAUACGAACGUUUUCUCGUCUUGUUAAAACCGCAGAGAUACUUCAAGAAUGAGAAAAUAUUAAAUAAAAUUACCUUCAUGUGGGCCUUCUCACCCAGUAUAUACAAUGCUGCCCUUUGAAAUGUAUGAACGCAUUCCGUACCGCUAUCCGAAUC
This is a long non-coding RNA of Orussus abietinus, 382 nucleotides long. RefSeq lists it as uncharacterized. The transcript has 3 exons. NCBI's taxonomy places the organism in Eukaryota, Metazoa, Arthropoda, Insecta, Hymenoptera, Orussidae. The record is from RefSeq and is a predicted model, not a curated record.